AUCUCAGGGCUCGGCCUAUUCCAUCCACUCGAGAGCCCUGCGGUCUGCGCGGGGAUGGAGCCUAGUUCCGGGCCCCGGUCAAAUCUUGUCAGCUCCGGCUCGGCCUCGGUCUUGGUCUUGGCUGCGAGCGUACCCCCUCCCUUCCCAGGCGCCGACAAACAGCACUGCUGCGCCUGCGCGCCUCGGGCAGCUGCGGGAUACCCUUCCGGUUCCACGGCAUGCUGGGACACCGAGUCCUGGGCGGAAGCCGGGCACGAGCGGAAGUCAGGGUUCUGCGUAAAACUACAAGUUCCAGGAAGCUGUGCGCUCCGGCCGUUCCGGUUGGGAAGAGAAGGGUGUGCUGGGGAGUUGUAGUUCUCCAGACCGUUUCGUCUGGUUGCCCGGAGGCGGGGAGGAGUGAACCGGCUUCGUUAACCUCGGGAAAGCUGCGGGUCCCCGCGCGGCUGCGCAACUGCAGACACGCGCUUGCUGAAUUUCCUGGUACAUCUGAGUACAUCUGAGUGUGUUUUGUGGACAGGCGUGUAGGUAAGAAUGUAGGCGGUCUUGGUGUGCCUACCAGGGUGCGAGAACUCCCGAAAUUUCCGCAGUCUCGUGUGCGCCUGACCCAGGUUGUAUGAGUGUAUGGGACCUGACACAUGUUGGAAUUCUUGCUCUGCCAUUUGGCGGCUCUGUGACACUGGCCAAAUUCCUCAAUUUCUUGGACCGUAAAAUGGAGAUGAGCGAGCGUUCAAGGGGAUUGUGGUGUAAAAUGCCAGUCCAGCCUGGGUGCUCAGUGAGUGUGUUGGCCAGGCUAACCUUGUUACAAGUGUGGUGGAGCUGCGCCUCCGACGCAGGCCUCCUGCCCCCAAAGAGGCAAGGCUGCGUGGGCUGCUUUUAGUGACUCUCUUCCCCACUACAGAUUUCUCAUCUCUGGCCCUGAGGAAGAGGGGUCACUACAGACUUGGGCCAGGGUGUCCCUGGGCCUCCACUUUACUGCAUCGGUGGCUUCCUGCAGGACAGCUUUUCUCAGAGGCUUUUGAGAUUAUAUGAGACAAAGGAUGUCAAGGAUCCGGCAUUUUGGAAACCUAAGAAGCAUUAUGACCUAUACCCUCUUGGGUACCUGGGUUGCAACGGCCUUCACUCCCAGCGGAGUGGUAGAUGGGACUUUGAGCUCAUGGCCACCUACCUGUCUUCAAGCUACCCAAUCCCCACCCUCAGGCAGACACAGUGGAUGGGAACCAUUUGAAGUGAAAAUAUGAACAUUAUUUAAUAACUGAUCUUCUGUAAUAAACCAUUUGAAAAUAUUUUACAAGGAAUCACACACACAAUAUUUUACAAAGUUUCUUGACUUUUUUGUCACUGUUGUUUUUCUGACUUGUCUGUACAAAAUAGAACAACAACCAAAAAAAAGGGCAGAGAAAAGGAAAUGGCCCCCCAGUCCCCCACAGAUCCCCCGAGCCCGAGGUGAGGGGGCAGCCAGGUCGGGUGGGUGAUGAGAAGGAUCAGACCCAGCUGGGGGUUGGACAACUAUCUGAUGGGGAUUGUUUGUCUGUUUUCCUGUUUUUUAAACUUAAAAUAGAUAUUUUUCUAUAUA
Molecule: long non-coding RNA, 1573 nt
Organism: Canis lupus familiaris (dog)
Lineage: Eukaryota; Metazoa; Chordata; Mammalia; Carnivora; Canidae
Exons: 2
Source: RefSeq, a predicted model, not a curated record